Molecule: unclassified non-coding RNA, 252 nt
Filed under: uncultured Basidiomycota
Lineage: Eukaryota; Fungi; Basidiomycota
Description: sequence contains ITS1
Source: RNAcentral
ACGAAUAUCUAUGGCGUUGGUUGUAGCUGGCUCCUAGGAGCAUUUGUGCACGCCCGUCAUUCAUAUCAUCUUUCCACCUGUGAACUAUGUGUAGGCCUGGAUACCUCUCGCUUUGGUAACGAAGCGGAUGCAAGGAUUGCUGUGUCGAUAAGGCCGGCUCUCUUUGAAUUUCCAGGUUCUAUGUCUUUUACACACUCCAUUUGAAUAAUGUAGAAUGUAAUCAAUGGGCUUUCAUGCCUAUAAAACACUAUA